UACGGGAGGCAGCAGUGGGGAAUAUUGCACAAUGGGCGCAAGCCUGAUGCAGCGACGCCGCGUGGGGGAUGACGGCCUUCGGGUUGUAAACCUCUUUCACCAUCGACGAAGGUCCGGGUUCUCUCGGAUUGACGGUAGGUGGAGAAGAAGCACCGGCCAACUACGUGCCAGCAGCCGCGGUAAU
Molecule: ribosomal RNA, 184 nt
Filed under: uncultured Mycobacterium sp.
Lineage: Bacteria; Bacillati; Actinomycetota; Actinomycetes; Mycobacteriales; Mycobacteriaceae
Description: partial 16S ribosomal RNA
Rfam family: Bacterial small subunit ribosomal RNA
Source: RNAcentral